RNAcentral lists this ribosomal RNA (440 nucleotides) under uncultured bacterium. Its description in RNAcentral is "partial 16S ribosomal RNA". It matches the Rfam family "Bacterial small subunit ribosomal RNA", at positions 338 to 795 of the family's 1533-position model. The record is from RNAcentral.
CCUACGGGGUGCUGCAGUGGGGAAUAUUGCACAAUGGGGGAAACCCUGAUGCAGCGACGUCGCGUGAGUGAUGAAGUAUUUCGGUAUGUAAAGCUCUAUCAGCAGGGAAGAAAAUGACGGUACCUGACUAAGAAGCCCCGGCUAACUACGUGCCAGCAGCCGCGGUAAUACGUAGGGGGCAAGCGUUAUCCGGAUUUACUGGGUGUAAAGGGAGCGUAGACGGCGGUGCAAGCCAGAUGUGAAAGCCCGGGGCUCAACCCCGGGACUGCAUUUGGAACUGUGCUGCUAGAGUGUCGGAGAGGUAGGCGGAAUGCGUAGUGUAGCGGUGAAAUGCGUAGAUAUUAGGAGGAACACCAGUGGCGAAGGCGGCCUGCUGGACGAUGACUGACGUUGAGGCUCGAAAGCGUGGGGAGCGAACAGGAUUAGAUACCCGUGUAGUC